Molecule: small nuclear RNA, 21 nt
Filed under: Arabidopsis thaliana (thale cress)
Lineage: Eukaryota; Viridiplantae; Streptophyta; Magnoliopsida; Brassicales; Brassicaceae
Description: snRNA_07966
Source: RNAcentral
CCAAAACGUUUUUUUUAAACU